Molecule: ribosomal RNA, 365 nt
Filed under: uncultured eukaryote
Lineage: Eukaryota
Description: partial 18S ribosomal RNA
Rfam family: Eukaryotic small subunit ribosomal RNA
Source: RNAcentral
CAAUAGCGUAUAUUUAAGUUGUUGCAGUUAAAAAGCUCGUAGUCGGAUUUUGGCUGAGAACGAUCGGUCCGCCGUUAGGUGUGCACUGAUUGGUCUCAGCUUCCUGGUGAGGAGGUGUGCUUCACGGCCACUUAGUCACCGUGGUUACUUUGAAAAAAUUAGAGUGUUCAAAGCGGGCUUACGCUUGAAUAUAUUAGCAUGGAAUAACACCAUAGGACUCCUGUCCUAUUUCGUUGGUCUCGGGACGGGAGUAAUGAUUAAGAGGAGCAGUUGGGGGCAUUCGUAUUUCAUUGUCAGAGGUGAAAUUCUUGGAUUUAUGAAAGACGAACUUCUGCGAAAGCAUUUGCCAAGGAUGUUUUCAUUGA